This is a long non-coding RNA of Cyprinus carpio (common carp), 1215 nucleotides long. NCBI's taxonomy places the organism in Eukaryota, Metazoa, Chordata, Actinopteri, Cypriniformes, Cyprinidae. The record is from Ensembl.
AAAGUGAUGUACAGGAAUAAAAACUCAGUAUAUAAUACUGAUUUUCAUUGUUUUCUAGGUAAAAAAAGAAGAAAAAGGUAAGUUUUAUAUUCAUUCAAUUUAGUAGUAGGCCUAUAUGUUUGUUAGUAGUCUAUAUUGUAGUCCAGGAGCUGUAUGUGUAAAUGUUUAACUUCUUAUUUGAUAUAUUCAUGUAUGAAAAAUCUAUAAAACCUGAUGUGCCCAGUCAAGGAAUUGGUAUGAGCUGUUCUGGACCUGCAGAGGCAUAUUCUCUGGUCACUUCUGUACCAGCCACAUCUCAGCCCAUGUCUGAAGGUAAGAGAACAUCAUUCUCAGGCAAUGAUCUCGGAUUAAUUAAAAACAUAGUAGCUAAUUGGGGUGGGCGAUAUAGCAAAAAUAUAAUAUCAUGAUUUUUUUUAUUUUUAUAUCAUGAUUAUAUCGUGAUUUCUUAUUGAACCAACUAUGUUAAAGUUCUUCAGUCAAGAGCAGCGAGUGAUUUUUCUCUGUGUGUUUUGUUGUUUUAUGAACAUUAAUGUGAUAGUUCAACCACAAAUGAAAAUUCUGUCAUCAUUUUCUCACUCAAGUUGUUUUAAACCUGAAUGAGUUUCUUUCUUCUGUUGAACAUAAAAGUUAUUUUGAAGAAUGUGGGUAACCAAAGAGUUGCUGGUCCCCAGUGACUUCCAUAGUAUUUUGUUUCUCCUACUCUCAAAGUCAAUAGCCACGUUUCCACUGUAGGGCUUAAAGCGGGCGUGCUAGUGUGUGCCAGGGUCAGUCGCGUUUCCACUGUCACUUCCGGGGCUUGAUCGUGCCUCGUCGGUGCUUCCUCGGGGCUAGCCGCCAGGGUUUUUUGGCCCGAUAAAAACCUUGGGCCAAAGCGGGCCAGCUGGGGCUAGAGGAGUGGUUAUGAACAAAGGCGGAGUUUCUCCGCAUCUGGACAGCGUCAGCGUCGCGGAUCAUUUCAGAAAGCUAACAGCUAUAACACCAGCAUUAAAAACUUUUUAAAAUAAGUUGAGCUCAAAACUCACUUUCAGUCAGCAGCGAGUGUUUGAAAUAACUCGACCCGAUCCGAUGUGGAUUAUAAUCACCAUAAAAGGCAGAAAUAUUUAUAAGCGAUGCAAAAGAAUAUGCACGCUAGGUAUUAACGUUCCCAUAGUAAACAUGGUAACGUUAAACGUGACCGUUUGAAGAAAUCAGACGUCAGCUUCUUAUUCUCUAUCA